Molecule: long non-coding RNA, 446 nt
Filed under: Bemisia tabaci
Lineage: Eukaryota; Metazoa; Arthropoda; Insecta; Hemiptera; Aleyrodidae
Description: lncRNA ENSSSA1NGG009537
Source: RNAcentral
UCAGGACAGAUUGGCGGCUUAUUCCCGAACCCCAUAGAGAGGAUAUUCCUCUGCCAUUGGCCAUGAGUUUCAGUUAAUUGUGACUGCACAAGAAAAUAUAAUUCUUCAUCAUGACCGCAAAAUUAGUCAUAAAGUGUGUGUUCUGCCUCUGCUUCGCUGUAUCGGCCAGCAGCGUCGAAUAUCGACCAGAGGGCGGCCCAGUCUACGUGAACGCAAUUAGCCAUGGAGGCUCCGAAUCAUCUGCCGAAUCAGUCGCUCCAAAAGGAAACUUCCUCACUCAAACUGUCUACGGAUUUUUGGAUUUCACAACGACCAUCGGAAAUACCGUCAUGGUGUUUUCUCCACAGAGCUCGCAGUAGCCGAAGGUAAAUUCUUCGAACUAAAUGAUGAUGCUUUUCUAUCUUUUGAUGAUCGAAUACUCAACUUGCAAGUAAAAUCCGAAAUUC